UGGGGAAUAUUGCACAAUGGGCGAAAGCCUGAUGUAGCAACGCCGCGUGCGGGAUGACGGCCUUCGGGUUGUAAACCGCUUUCAGCAGGGACGAAGGUUUUCUGACGGUACCUGCAGAAGAAGCACCGGCUAACUACGUGCCAGCAGCCGCGGUGAUACGUAGGGUGCGAGCGUUGUCCGGAAUUAUUGGGCGUAAAGAGCUUGUAGGCGGUCCGUUGCGUCGGAAGUGAGAACUCAGGGCUUAACCCUGAGCCUGCUUUCGAUGCGGGCGGACUUGAGGGAUGUAGGGGAGAACGGAAUUCCUGGUGGAGCGGUGGAAUGCGCAGAUAUCAGGAGGAACACCAGUGGCGAAGGCGGUUCUCUGGACAUUUCCUGACGCUGAGAAGCGAAAGCGUGGGGAGCAAACAGGCUUAGAUACCCUGGUAGUCCACGCCGUAAACGGUGGGCACUAGGUGUGGGACCCAUUCCACGGGUUCCGUGCCGUAGCUAACGCAUUAAGUGCCCCGCCUGGGGAGUACGGCCGCAAGGCU
This 530-nucleotide ribosomal RNA is filed under the name uncultured bacterium. RNAcentral's name for it is "partial 16S ribosomal RNA". It matches the Rfam family "Bacterial small subunit ribosomal RNA", at positions 355 to 895 of the family's 1533-position model. The record is from RNAcentral.